Molecule: ribosomal RNA, 230 nt
Filed under: uncultured bacterium
Lineage: Bacteria
Description: partial 16S ribosomal RNA
Rfam family: Bacterial small subunit ribosomal RNA
Source: RNAcentral
CGGGGUGGAGUAAUGUCUGGGAAACUGCCUGAUGGAGGGGGGUAACUACUGGAAACGGUAGCUAAUACCGCAUAACGUCGCAAGACCAAAGUGGGGGACCUUCGGGCCUCAUGCCAUAAGAUGUGCCCAGAUGGGAUUAGCUAGUAGGUGGGGUAACGGCUCACCUAGGCGACGAUCCCUAGCUGGUCUGAGAGGAUGACCAGCCACACUGGAACUGAGACACGGUCCAG